GACGUAGGGCGCGAGCGUUGUCCGGAUUUAUUGGGCGUAAAGAGCUCGUAGGCGGCUCGUUGCGUCGGCUGUGAAAACCCGCAGCUCAACUGUGGGCUUGCAGCUGAUACGGGCGGGCUGGAGUUCGGUAGGGGAGACUGGAAUUCCUGGUGUAGCGGUGAAAUGCGCAGAUAUCAGGAGGAACACCGGUGGCGAAGGCGGGUCUCUGGACAGUUCCUGACGCUGAGGCACGAAGGCCAGGGGAGCAAACGGG
Molecule: ribosomal RNA, 253 nt
Filed under: uncultured bacterium
Lineage: Bacteria
Description: partial 16S ribosomal RNA
Rfam family: Bacterial small subunit ribosomal RNA
Source: RNAcentral